UACAGAGGGGGCAAGCGUUGUUCGGAAUUACUGGGCGUAAAGGGCGCGUAGGCGGCCUGCUAAGUCGAACGUGAAAUCCCUGGGCUCAACCCAGGAACUGCGUCCGAUACUGUUUGGCUUGAAUCCGGGAGAGGGAUGUGGAAUUCCAGGUGUAGCGGUGAAAUGCGUAGAUAUCUGGAGGAACACCGGUGGCGAAGGCGACAUCCUGGACCGGCAUUGACGCUGAGGCGCGAAAGCCAGGGGAGCAAACGGG
Molecule: ribosomal RNA, 253 nt
Filed under: uncultured bacterium
Lineage: Bacteria
Description: partial 16S ribosomal RNA
Rfam family: Bacterial small subunit ribosomal RNA
Source: RNAcentral